GUGCUCGCCUUGGCAAUACAUACACUAAAAUUGGAAUGAUACAGAGAUUAUACGACCCCUUGCAAGGAUGACACAUUCUAAAAAUUUAUUAAUAUUC
RNAcentral lists this small nuclear RNA (97 nucleotides) under Aotus nancymaae (Ma's night monkey). The record is from RNAcentral. Lineage: Eukaryota; Metazoa; Chordata; Mammalia; Primates; Aotidae.